AUGAAAUAUGAUCAACUCACAAUUGAUGUGCGUGAGACGCCUGCGAUUCUUCAGCCGUCACUGAGACCCAUGAUUCACUGCAACACAAGAGAGUCACAUCAGACAGCAUCCAUCGGCUCAGGAGAGACGCACGCGUCCGGUCAGAGCGUUCACCGGCUCAGGAGAGACGCACGCGUCCGGUCAGAGCGUUCACCGGCUCAGGAGAGACGCACGCGUCCGGUCAGAGCGUUCACCGGCUCAGGAGAGACGCACGCGUCCGGUCAGAGCGUUCACCGGCUCAGGAGAGACGCACGCGUCCGGUCAGAGCGUUCACCGGCUCAGGAGAGACGCACGCGUCCGGUCAGAGCGUUCACCGGCUCAAGAAAGACGCACGCGUCCGGUCAGAGCAUUCACCGGCUCAAGAAAGACGCACGCGUCCGGUCAGAGCAUUCACCGGCUCAGGAGAGACGCACGCGUCCGGUCAGAGCAUUCACCGGCUCAGGAGAGACGCACGAGUCCGGUCAGAGCGUUCACAGGCUCAAGAAAGAUGCACGCGUCCGGUCAGAGCGUUCACCGGCUCAGGAGAGACGCACGCGUCCGGUCAGAGCGUUCACCGGCUCAGGAGAGACGCACGCGUCCGGUCAGAGCGUUCACCGGCUCAGGAGAGACGCACGCGUCCGGUCAGAGCAUUCACCGGCUCAGGAGAGACGCACGCGUCCGGUCAGAGCGUUCACCGGCUCAAGAGAGACGCACGCGUCCGGUCUGAGCGUUCACCGGCUCAAGAGAGACGCACGCGUCCGGUCAGAGCGUUCACCGGCUCAGGAAAGACGCACGCGUCCGGUCAGAGCGUUCACCGGCUCAGGAGAGACGCACGCGUCCGGUCAGAGCGUUCACCGGCUCAGGAGAGACGCACGCGUCCGGUCAGAGCGUUCACCGGCUCAGGAGAGACGCACGCGUCCGGUCAGAGCGUUCACCGGCUCAGGAGAGACGCACGCGUCCGGUCAGAGCGUUCACCGGCUCAGGAGAGACGCACGCUUCCGGUCAGAGCGUUCACCGGCUCAGGAGAGACGCACGCGUCCGGUCAGAGCGUUCACCGGCUCAGGAGAGACGCACGCGUCCGGUCAGAGCGUUCACCGGCUCAGGAGAGACGCACGCGUCCGGUCAGAGCGUUCACCGGCUCAGGAGAGACGCACGCGUCCGGUCAGAGCGUUCACCGGCUCAGGAGAGACGCACGAGUCCGGUCAGAGCGUUCACCGGCUCAGGAGAGACGCACGCGUCCGGUCAGAGCGUUCACCGGCUCAGGAGAGACGCACGCGUCCGGUCAGAGCGUUCACCGGCUCAGGAGAGACGCACGCGUCCGGUCAGAGCGUUCACCGGCUCAGGAGAGACGCACGUGUCCGGUCAGAGCGUUCACCGGCUCAGGAGAGACGCACGCGUCAGGUCAGAGCGUUCACCGGCUCAGGAGAGAUGCACGCGUCCGGUCAGAGCAGAACUGACUCGUCUCUGUGA
Molecule: long non-coding RNA, 1488 nt
Filed under: Carassius auratus (goldfish)
Lineage: Eukaryota; Metazoa; Chordata; Actinopteri; Cypriniformes; Cyprinidae
Description: lncRNA (ENSCARG00000068664.1)
Source: RNAcentral